AAAGCUUCCUUCGGGAAGUUAGUAAAGUGGCGGACGGGUGAGUAACACGUGGGUAAUCUGCCCUUGAGUGGGGAAUAACUUUGGGAAACCGAAGAUAAUACCGCAUACGACCCUUCGGGGUGAAAGCUUUAUGCGCUCAAGGAUGAGCCCGCGGUCGAUUAGCUUGUUGGUGGGGUAAUGGCUCACCAAGGCUACGAUCGAUAUCCGGCCUGAGAGGGCACACGGACACACUGGCACUGAGACACGGGCCAGACUCCUACGGGAGGCAGCAGUGGGGAAUCUUGGACAAUGGGGGAAACCCUGAUCCAGCGAUGCCGCGUGACCGAUGAAGGCCCUCGGGUCGUAAAGGUCUUUCGAUGGGGACUAUAAUGAAGGUACCCAUAAAAGCAGGAGCGGCUAACUAUGUGCCAGCAGCCGCGGUAAUACAUAGGCUCCAAGCGUUGUUCGGAAUUACUGGGCGUAAAGCGAGUGUAGGUGGCCUGCCAAGUCGAUUGUGAAAUCUCCCGGCUCGACUGGGAGGGUGCGGUCGAAACUGGCAGGCUAGAGUUCGGGAGAGGAGAGUGGAAUUCCUGGUGUAGCGGUGAAAUGCGUAGAUAUCAGGAGGAACACCGGAGGUGAAGACGGCUCUCUGGACCGAUACUGACACUGAGACUCGAAAGCGUGGGGAGCAAACAGGAUUAGAUACCCUGGUAGUCCACGCCCUAAACGAUGCGUACUUGGUGUGGGCACUUCACUGUGUCCGUGCCGAAGUUAACACGAUAAGUACGCCGCCUGGGGAGUACGGUCGCAAGGCUGAAACUCAAA
This 804-nucleotide ribosomal RNA is filed under the name uncultured Acidobacterium sp. RNAcentral describes it as "bacterial SSU rRNA". It matches the Rfam family "Bacterial small subunit ribosomal RNA", at positions 70 to 905 of the family's 1533-position model. The record is from RNAcentral. Lineage: Bacteria; Pseudomonadati; Acidobacteriota; Terriglobia; Terriglobales; Acidobacteriaceae.